CUGACAGUGGUGCUGCUGGCUGGGAACAGGAUGCUGUCAGGCCGAACAGACGCACCGACCUAACGGAGAGAAACCGCAGCAGCAUCCUUUGUUUUGUUGAGCUGGAUAACCAGCUGUGGCACCUACUGACAACCUGCAGCACCUGGAGGAGAAGGGGGAGGCGUCCAGUUCCAACAGCCAAUAACCUGAUGCGCAGUCAAGAGUCACAAUCAAGACCGCUGUGCUAGGCUAGCCAAUAGGACAGCUCCAAACCAAUUGUGUGGCAAGCUGAAGAGAGAGCUGAAGCAAAGGUGGAGGGGCUUUCCUUUCCCACCAUCCCCCAGCCCUGUGGAAGCACUCAUCCACACCAUUGCACUGAAACAAAUUCAUCGCUCUUUCUCUUCCCAUUCUGUCAUUACACUCUAUUUUGCUUGAUGAAUAGGUCAGUGGAACCUAAGCACUGUCACCCAGUAGAGACCUCUCAGUAAGGACCAGUGAAAUUAGUUGUUUAGGUUGAGGGCUGCCAACAGAGAUCAUCCUAGUCAGGCCAUGCAGUAGUAUAUUUGAA
Chelmon rostratus (copperband butterflyfish) is the source of this 547-nucleotide long non-coding RNA. RefSeq lists it as uncharacterized. The record is from RefSeq and is a predicted model, not a curated record. Lineage: Eukaryota; Metazoa; Chordata; Actinopteri; Chaetodontiformes; Chaetodontidae. The transcript has 3 exons.